GGGUUGUGAGGUUAAGCGACUAAGCGUACACGGUGGAUGCCCUGGCAGUCAGAGGCGAUGAAGGACGUGCUAAUCUGCGAAAAGCGUCGGUAAGGUGAUAUGAACCGUUACAGCCGGCGAUGUCCGAAUGGGGAAACCCAGUGCAAUUCGUUGCACUAUCGUUAACUGAAUACAUAGGUUAACGAGGCGAACCGGGGGAACUGAAACAUCUAAGUACCCCGAGGAAAAGAAAUCAACCGAGAUUCCCCCAGUAGCGGCGAGCGAACGGGGAGCAGCCCAGAGUCUGAAUCAGCUUGUGUGUUAGUGGAACGGUCUGGAAAGUCCGACGGUACAGGGUGAUAGUCCCGUACACCAAAAUGCACAGGCUGUGAACUCGAAGAGUAGGGCGGGACACGUGGUAUCCUGUCUGAAUAUGGGGGGACCAUCCUCCAAGGCUAAAUACUCCUGACUGACCGAUAGUGAACCAGUACCGUGAGGGAAAGGCGAAAAGAACCCCGGCGAGGGGAGUGAAAAAGAACCUGAAACCGUGUACGUACAAGCAGUGGGAGCACCUUCGGGUGUGACUGCGUACCUUUUGUAUAAUGGGUCAGCGACUUAUAUUCUGUAGCAAGGUUAACCGUAUAGGGGAGCCGCAGGGAAACCGAGUCUUAACUGGGCGUUAAGUUGCAGGGUAUAGACCCGAAACCCGGUGAUCUAGCCAUGGGCAGGUUGAAGGUUGGGUAACACUAACUGGAGGACCGAACCGACUAAUGUUGAAAAAUUAGCGGAUGACUUGUGGCUGGGGGUGAAAGGCCAAUCAAACCGGGAGAUAGCUGGUUCUCCCCGAAAGCUAUUUAGGUAGCGCCUCGUGAAUUCAUCUUCGGGGUAGAGCACUGUUUCGGCUAGGGGGUCAUCCCGACUUACCAACCCGAUGCAAACUACGAAUACCGAAGAAUGUUAUCACGGGAGACACACGGCGGGUGCUAACGUCCGUCGUGAAGAGGGAAACAACCCAGACCGCCAGCUAAGGUCCCAAAGUCACAGUUAAGUGGGAAACGAUGUGGGAAGGCACAGACAGCCAGGAUGUUGGCUUAGAAGCAGCCAUCAUUUAAAGAAAGCGUAAUAGCUCACUGGUCGAGUCGGCCUGCGCGGAAGAUGUAACGGGGCUAAACUGUGCACCGAAGCUGCGGCAGCGACACUUAGGUGUUGUUGGGUAGGGGAGCGUUCUGUAAGCCUGCGAAGGUGGCCUGUGAGGGUUGCUGGAGGUAUCAGAAGUGCGAAUGCUGACAUAAGUAACGAUAAUGCGGGUGAAAAGCCCGCACGCCGGAAGACCAAGGGUUCCUGUCCAACGUUAAUCGGGGCAGGGUGAGUCGACCCCUAAGGCGAGGCCGAAAGGCGUAGUCGAUGGGAAACAGGUUAAUAUUCCUGUACUUGGUGUUACUGCGAAGGGGGGACGGAGAAGGCUAUGUUAGCCGGGCGACGGUUGUCCCGGUUUAAGCAUGUAGGCGGAGGUUCCAGGUAAAUCCGGUACCUUUUAACGCUGAGGUGUGAUGACGAGGCACUACGGUGCUGAAGUAACAAAUGCCCUGCUUCCAGGAAAAGCCUCUAAGCAUCAGGUAACAUUGAAUCGUACCCCAAACCGACACAGGUGGUCAGGUAGAGAAUACCAAGGCGCUUGAGAGAACUCGGGUGAAGGAACUAGGCAAAAUGGUGCCGUAACUUCGGGAGAAGGCACGCUGAUAUGUAGGUGAAGCCCCUGCGGGUGGAGCUGAAAUCAGUCGAAGAUACCAGCUGGCUGCAACUGUUUAUUAAAAACACAGCACUGUGCAAACACGAAAGUGGACGUAUACGGUGUGACGCCUGCCCGGUGCCGGAAGGUUAAUUGAUGGGGUUAUCCGUAAGGAGAAGCUCUUGAUCGAAGCCCCGGUAAACGGCGGCCGUAACUAUAACGGUCCUAAGGUAGCGAAAUUCCUUGUCGGGUAAGUUCCGACCUGCACGAAUGGCGUAAUGAUGGCCAGGCUGUCUCCACCCGAGACUCAGUGAAAUUGAACUCGCUGUGAAGAUGCAGUGUACCCGCGGCAAGACGGAAAGACCCCGUGAACCUUUACUAUAGCUUGACACUGAACAUUGAGCCUUGAUGUGUAGGAUAGGUGGGAGGCUUUGAAGCGUGGACGCCAGUCUGCGUGGAGCCAACCUUGAAAUACCACCCUUUAAUGUUUGAUGUUCUAACGUUGGCCCCUGACCGGGGUUGCGGACAGUGUCUGGUGGGUAGUUUGACUGGGGCGGUCUCCUCCCAAAGAGUAACGGAGGAGCACGAAGGUUAGCUAAUCCUGGUCGGACAUCAGGAGGUUAGUGCAAUGGCAUAAGCUAGCUUGACUGCGAGCGUGACGGCGCGAGCAGGUGCGAAAGCAGGUCAUAGUGAUCCGGUGGUUCUGAAUGGAAGGGCCAUCGCUCAACGGAUAAAAGGUACUCCGGGGAUAACAGGCUGAUACCGCCCAAGAGUUCAUAUCGACGGCGGUGUUUGGCACCUCGAUGUCGGCUCAUCACAUCCUGGGGCUGAAGUAGGUCCCAAGGGUAUGGCUGUUCGCCAUUUAAAGUGGUACGCGAGCUGGGUUUAGAACGUCGUGAGACAGUUCGGUCCCUAUCUGCCGUGGGCGCUGGAGAAUUGAGGGGGGCUGCUCCUAGUACGAGAGGACCGGAGUGGACGCAUCACUGGUGUUCGGGUUGUCAUGCCAAUGGCAUUGCCCGGUAGCUAAAUGCGGAAGAGAUAAGUGCUGAAAGCAUCUAAGCACGAAACUUGCCCCGAGAUGAGUUCUCCCUGAGACUUUAAGUCUCCUGAAGGAACGUUAAAGACGAUGACGUUGAUAGGUCGGGUGUGUAAGCGUAGCGAUACGUUGAGCUAACCGAUACUAAUGAACCGUGAGGCUUAACCUUACAACGCCGAAGGUGUUU
RNAcentral lists this ribosomal RNA (2931 nucleotides) under Klebsiella aerogenes. RNAcentral's name for it is "bacterial LSU rRNA". It matches the Rfam family "Bacterial large subunit ribosomal RNA". Lineage: Bacteria; Pseudomonadati; Pseudomonadota; Gammaproteobacteria; Enterobacterales; Enterobacteriaceae. The record is from RNAcentral.